UACAGAGGGGGCAAGCGUUGUUCGGAAUUACUGGGCGUAAAGAGCUCGUAGGCGGCUUGUCACGUCGGGUGUGAAAGCCCGGGGCUUAACCCCGGGUCUGCAUUCGAUACGGGCUAGCUAGAGUGUGGUAGGGGAGAUCGGAAUUCCUGGUGUAGCGGUGAAAUGCGCAGAUAUCAGGAGGAACACCGGUGGCGAAGGCGGAUCUCUGGGCCAUUACUGACGCUGAGGAGCGAAAGCGUGGGGAGCGAACAGG
This 253-nucleotide ribosomal RNA is filed under the name uncultured bacterium. RNAcentral describes it as "partial 16S ribosomal RNA". It matches the Rfam family "Bacterial small subunit ribosomal RNA", at positions 524 to 776 of the family's 1533-position model. The record is from RNAcentral.